This 2307-nucleotide unclassified non-coding RNA is filed under the name Hevea brasiliensis (rubber tree). Lineage: Eukaryota; Viridiplantae; Streptophyta; Magnoliopsida; Malpighiales; Euphorbiaceae. The record is from RNAcentral.
ACCCCGAGAACAGUAUUAGCUCUGUACAAUCCUUCGAUUUUGUAGAGCUGAAGAGAGAAGAAGAAAAGGAGAAAUGGCGGAAAAAAGAUGGAAAUCGAGAGAAAGCGAAGAAGACGAAAAUGAUAAACAAAACAGUAUCAGCGUUUGUGGUAUGCAAUUCGCAUACGAAGGGCAGCCUCCUCUCUUCUACGAUUUCAAUCUCAACAUUCCUCCUGGAUCUCGCUGCCUACUUGUCGGCGCUAAUGGAUCCGGGAAGACCACUUUGUUGAAGAUUCUGGCUGGCAAGCAUAUGGUGGGAGGAAGAGAUGUAGUGCGAGUGCUAAAUCUUUCGGCUUUUCAUGACACUCAAUUAGUUUGUGGUGGUGAUUUGGCCUAUUUAGGUGGUUCUUGGACUAAAACCGUUGGAUCCGCUGUGAGAUUUUUAGCUCUGUUUCUUAAUCAAGCUCUUAGUAGAUGUACCAAUUCAUAUUAUUUGUUUCUUUUUGUGUCCAAACAAGAUAAAAUUUUUCUUAAUAGAUCAUAGCUUAAAGUUAGUGAGGCAAUGUCCCCUUGAGAAACACCAUAUUACGUGAUUAAAAUUUCAAUGCAAUUAGUUUGAGUCGAUGAGUUUUCUUGAUUCCAAGAUAGCAAAUUGUUGGUUUUGCCUUAUGCCUGAUAUUUCCAUCGGAAAUCAUAUUGUUUGAAAAUGUAAAGAAUAAAAUAGCGAAUGGUGUUUUUCCAUAUCAUCUUUGAAGUUUUGUUGGGCUGAGAGCACCAAUUUUUCAUUUUUUUUAUUCCAAUUUGUUUUUGCCGUUCCUGGUGGCAUUAAGUUGCCACUGUAUCGGGAUGGUACUUAUUUUUACCUAUGCUGAUAUGAAAAGCAAUGAUAAUCUCGCCAUUAACUAGUUGGUUUAUGGAUUUCAUAGCAAACAUACAUGUAUAGACUUCAGUAAUAAUCAAAUCAUGGAAAUGUCAAGUUUUGUCCAGCGUAUUUAUAAAUUUGUUGCAGCCACACAUAUAUUUAUAUGAUAUUGUUGUUUGCUUUUCUGCUUUAGAGUAUUCUUUUUAUAAUUCUUUUUCUAAUUAUGAUGAAAGUGAUUAAACAUAUUCAUAAUGUUGAUUUUCCACCCUUCCAAGGCAAAGUGGAUGUGAGUCAUUCUUUUAAGUUGUUAUUGUAUUUCCAAAAUAAUCUUCUCCAAGUUAGAAUUUUUACUUCUUUGUUUCCCCUCCAUCAAAUGCAUUCUAUCAAAUCUGAAUCAAUUUGUUCCUGUUUUACAAAUUUGCAGGGAGAGAUACCACUCCAGGGUGACUUCUCCGCGGAACAUAUGAUAUUUGGAGUUGAAGGAAUUGAUCCUGCUAGGAGAGAAAAGUUGAUUGACUUGCUUGAUAUUGAUCUACAAUGGCGCAUGCAUAAGGUAUCAGAUGGGCAGCGGCGUCGAGUCCAGAUUUGUAUGGGUCUUCUUGUCCCAUUUAAGGUACUAUAAAACCUUGCAAGUCCUGUUGGUACAUUUGCAAGGGGAGUGGAUUGGGCUAUUCCAGAUUCAGUAAAACCAAGUCUGUUAUCUAGGAGUGCAUGUCUCUUUUAUACUCCUUAUUCUACACCUCCUCUUUCAUUGCAAUUCAGAACUGCUUACGUAGUUGCUCAAAAAAAUUUUACUUUCUUGCUGGUUUGGCUGGUUAAUUAGCCAAGGAUUUCAUGACCUAGUACAUUUGCCUCCUUCUCUGUCUUAUUUUGCAUCUUGGUUCCUUAUAUGAUAAAGAUAUAGUUGAGUGAUCUUAGGAUUUUAGUUUUCUUACCAGCCAAAGUUUUCCAUUAUAGGUUCUUUUACUCGAUGAGGUCACAGUUGACCUGGACGUUGUUGCCAGACUGGAUUUGCUCGAGUUCUUCAAGGAAGAAUGUGAACAGAGGGGAGCUACACUUGUGUAUGCAACUCAUAUAUUUGAUGGGUUGGAAACAUGGGCAACACAUCUGGCUUACAUCCAGGAUGGUGAACUGAGGAGGUCUGAGAAGUUAACGGAGGUUCAUGAGUUGAAAAGUUCUGCCAAUCUGCUUUCUGUUGUCGAGUCCUGGCUCCGGUCUGAAACCAGGCAUGAGAAAAAGAAACCCACCAACCCUCCUGCUCAAAACCAAAAGACCUCUCCCUUUGGUACUUCUCCAUUUAUGUCAUCCAGACACAUGGCAUAUUACCGAUGAUCUUCUCAAAUUAAUUUUUCUUUUACUUCCAAUUUCAAAUUCAAAGUUAAGCAUGCAAGAAAGUUGGGUAAUCAAUAAAGUGAAGGCAUCAUUACAAAUGAUGGAAAUCCAAAGACACCCAGGAGGCCAGGACU